Molecule: ribosomal RNA, 508 nt
Filed under: uncultured bacterium
Lineage: Bacteria
Description: bacterial SSU rRNA
Rfam family: Bacterial small subunit ribosomal RNA
Source: RNAcentral
CGAACGCUGGCGGCGUGCUUAACACAUGCAAGUCGAACGCGAAAGGGACUUCGGCCUGAGUAAAGUGGCGGCACGGGUGAGUAACGCGUAGAUAACCUGUCUUCAUGUCUGGAAUAAUACGCCGAAAGGGGUACUAAUACCGGAUAUUCUUGCUUUUCAUAAGUUAUGCAAGCAAAGGUGGCCUCUGCAUAUGCUACUGCAUGAAGAGGGGUCUGCGUACCAUUAGCUAGUAGGUGGGGUAAUGGCCUACCUAGGCGACGAUGGUUAGCGGGUCUGAGAGGAUGAUCCGCCACACUGGCACUGGAACACGGGCCAGACUCCUACGGGAGGCAGCAGUGAGGAAUAUUGCGCAAUGGGGGAAACCCUGACGCAGCGACGCCGCGUGAGUGAGGAAGGCCUUCGGGUCGUAAAGCUCUGUCAAGAGGAAAGAAGUGUACAAUGGCUAAUACCUGUUGUAUUUGACGGUACCUCUAAAGGAAGCACCGGCUAACUCCGUGCCAGCCGCCGC